Ribosomal RNA from Gorilla gorilla gorilla (western lowland gorilla), 152 nucleotides. It matches the Rfam family "5.8S ribosomal RNA". Rfam says of the family: 5.8S ribosomal RNA (5.8S rRNA) is a component of the large subunit of the eukaryotic ribosome. It is transcribed by RNA polymerase I as part of the 45S precursor that also contains 18S and 28S rRNA. The record is from Ensembl. Lineage: Eukaryota; Metazoa; Chordata; Mammalia; Primates; Hominidae.
GACUUUUAGUGGUGGAUCACUCAGCUUCUGCGUCAAUGAAGAAAGCAGCUAGCUGGGAGAAUUAAUGUGAACUGCAGGACACAUUGAUCAUCGACACUUCGAAUGCACUUGCAGCCCGGGUUCCUCCCGGGGCUAUGCCUGUCUGAGCAUCA